Molecule: ribosomal RNA, 506 nt
Filed under: uncultured Glomus
Lineage: Eukaryota; Fungi; Glomeromycota; Glomeromycetes; Glomerales; Glomeraceae
Description: SSU rRNA
Rfam family: Eukaryotic small subunit ribosomal RNA
Source: RNAcentral
AGCAGCCGCGGUAAUUCCAGCUCCAAUAGCGUAUAUUAAAGUUGUUGCAGUUAAAAAGCUCGUAGUUGAAUUUCGGGAUCAAUACGUCGGUCGUGCUUCGGUACGUACUGGUGUCAUUGAUUUCUCCCUUCUGACGAACCAUGAUGUCAUUAACUUGGUGUCAUGGGAAAUCAGGACUGUUACUUUGAAAAAUUAGAGUGUUUAAAGCAGGCUCGCGCUUGAAUACAUUAGCAUGGAAUAAUGAAAUAGGACGUUUGAUUCUAUUUUGUUGGUUUCUAGGAUUGACGUAAUGAUUAAUAGGGAUAGUUGGGGGCAUUAGUAUUCAAUUGUCAGAGGUGAAAUUCUUGGAUUUAUUGAAGACUAACUACUGCGAAAGCAUUUGCCAAGGAUGUUUUCAUUAAUCAAGAACGAAAGUUAGGGGAUCGAAGACGAUCAGAUACCGUCGUAGUCUUAACCAUAAACUAUGCCGACUAGGGAUCGGAUGAUGUUAAUUUUUAAUGACUCAU